CCCCGAAUACAUUAGCAUGGGAUAAUGGAAUAGGACCCUGUCCUCCUAUUUUCAGUUGGUUUUGGCAGCGCGAGGACUAGGGUAAUGAUUAAUAGGGAUAGUUGGGGGCAUUAAUAUUUAAUUGUCAGAGGUGAAAUUCUUGGAUUUAUGAAAGAUUAACUUCUGCGAAAGCAUCUGCCAAGGAUGUUUUCAUUAAUCAAGAACGAAAGUUAGGGGAUCGAAGACGAUCAGAUACCGUCGUAGUCUUAACCAUAAACGAUGCCGACCAGCGAUUAGGAGACGUUGAAUACAAAACACCACCAUCGGUGCGGUCGUCCUUGGCGUCGGUCUUUCGGGGCCGGCGCGGGGACGGCUUAGCCCGGUGGCACCGGUGAAUGACUCCCUA
RNAcentral lists this ribosomal RNA (385 nucleotides) under Acanthamoeba sp. MMN-2011/T4. RNAcentral's name for it is "SSU rRNA". It matches the Rfam family "Eukaryotic small subunit ribosomal RNA", at positions 793 to 1082 of the family's 1831-position model. The record is from RNAcentral. Lineage: Eukaryota; Discosea; Longamoebia; Acanthamoebidae.